Molecule: ribosomal RNA, 179 nt
Filed under: uncultured bacterium
Lineage: Bacteria
Description: partial 16S ribosomal RNA
Rfam family: Bacterial small subunit ribosomal RNA
Source: RNAcentral
ACUCCUACGGGAGGCAGCAGUGGGGAAUAUUGCACAAUGGGCGCAAGCCUGAUGCAGCAACGCCGCGUGAGGGAUGACGGCCUUCGGGUUGUAAACCUCUUUUAGUAGGGAAGAAGCGAAAGUGACGGUACCUGCAGAAAAAGCACCGGCUAACUACGUGCCAGCAGCCGCGGUAAUAC